RNAcentral lists this ribosomal RNA (919 nucleotides) under uncultured Campylobacter sp. RNAcentral's name for it is "bacterial SSU rRNA". It matches the Rfam family "Bacterial small subunit ribosomal RNA". Lineage: Bacteria; Pseudomonadati; Campylobacterota; Epsilonproteobacteria; Campylobacterales; Campylobacteraceae. The record is from RNAcentral.
AUUGAACGCUGGCGGCAGGCCUAACACAUGCAAGUCGAACGGUAACAGGAAGCAGCUUGCUGCUUCGCUGACGAGUGGCGGACGGGUGAGUAAUGUCUGGGAAACUGCCUGAUGGAGGGGGAUAACUACUGGAAACGGUAGCUAAUACCGCAUAACGUCGCAAGACCAAAGAGGGGGACCUUAGGGCCUCUUGCCAUCGGAUGUGCCCAGAUGGGAUUAGCUAGUAGGUGGGGUAACGGCUCACCUAGGCGACGAUCCCUAGCUGGUCUGAGAGGAUGACCAGCCACACUGGAACUGAGACACGGUCCAGACUCCUACGGGAGGCAGCAGUGGGGAAUAUUGCACAAUGGGCGCAAGCCUGAUGCAGCCAUGCCGCGUGUAUGAAGAAGGCCUUCGGGUUGUAAAGUACUUUCAGCGGGGAGGAAGGGAGUAAAGUUAAUACCUUUGCUCAUUGACGUUACCCGCAGAAGAAGCACCGGCUAACUCCGUGCCAGCAGCCGCGGUAAUACGGAGGGUGCAAGCGUUAAUCGGAAUUACUGGGCGUAAAGCGCACGCAGGCGGUUUGUUAAGUCAGAUGUGAAAUCCCCGGGCUCAACCUGGGGAACUGCAUCUGAUACUGGCAAGCUUGAGUCUCGUAGAGGGGGGUAGAAUUCCAGGUGUAGCGGUGAAAUGCGUAAGAUCUGGGAGGAAUACCCGGUGGCCAAGGCGGCCCCCUGGACCAAGACUGACGCUCAGGUGCGAAAGCGUGGGGAAGCAAACAGGAUCAGAUACCCUGGGAGCUCCAUGGGCGGAAUUCCCAUACGGGAACUUUAUCUUAUCCGGUUCGUCUUUCUCGUUGGGGGGGGCCUGUUACCCGGCUUUUUGUUCCCUUUAAUGAGGUUUAGUCUACCGUCUCCGCACUAUUCCACCCCCCCCCUCU